AUUGAACGCUGGCGGCAGGCCUAACACAUGCAAGUCGAACGAGUGGCGGACGGGUGCGUAAUGUCUGGGAAACUGCCUGAUGGAGGGGGAUAACUACUGGAAACGGUAGCUAAUACCGCAUACCAUCGGAUGUGCCCAGAUGGGAUUUGCUAGUAGGUGGGGUAAAGGCUCACCUAGGCGACGAUCCCUAGCUGGUCUGAGAGGAUGACCGGCCACACUGGAACUGAUACACGGUCCAACCUCCUACGGGAGGCAGCAGUGGGGAAUAUUGCACAAUGGGCGCAAGCCUGACGCAGCCAUGCCGCUUGUAUGAAGAAGGCCUUCGGGUUUUAAAGUACUUUCAGCGGGGAGGCGUUACCCUAAUAAGAAGCACCGGCUAACUCCGUGCCAGCAGCCGCGGUAAUAC
Molecule: ribosomal RNA, 406 nt
Filed under: uncultured bacterium
Lineage: Bacteria
Description: partial 16S ribosomal RNA
Rfam family: Bacterial small subunit ribosomal RNA
Source: RNAcentral